UAUAACAUGUCUUACCUUUGCCUCCUGAAUUAGCCAUUGACACAAAAGCAAUCCCUUUUACCCAUAAUCGUCAUUUGGUAAAUAAAUCUCUCUUUCAAUGGGAUGAUCAGGGAUAAAUUUUGAUUGUCAUUUCUACGUUUGGGUAAAAAGGGUAGAAAUUAUUAGAUGGGUAAUACCGGAAGCAAUGGUGUGCAUGGACGACGAAGAUAUAACACCUUACGUAGGAGCCACCCUCCUCAUCAACCGGAGAUCACCAGUAACACGUAUGUAUUUAUAGCAACGACACAAUAUCCAUAUCAGCCAAAUUAUAAUACGACACCGUAUUAUCAGUACCCCGGUUAUUAUCCACCGCCACCACCGAUAAUGCCGUUGUCGUACGACCACCGGAUGGACUCCACUUAUGCAAAUUCGGGUAAUGGGAGGUAUCCAUGUGGACCUGUGGUACCUCAGCAUGCACCGUAUGUGGAGCAUCAAAAAGCAGUGACAGUACGUAAUGAUGUUAAUUUGAAGAAGGAGAGUUUAAGGAUAGAGGCUGAUGAGAAUAACCCUGGAAAGUACCUGGUCGCUUUCGAUUUCGAUGCCACUGUACCAGGAAGCAUGACAGUCAUUUUCUUUGCAAAAGAAGGUGAAGAUUGUUGCCUGACUCCUACAAAGAAAAGUUUACUUCCACCAAUAACCAUUAAAUUUCAAAAAGGUUUAUCUCAGAAAUUUAGACAAUCCUCUGGAACUGGCAUUGAUCUUUCCAUUUUUGAAGAGGCAGAAUUGCCAAAAGACGUUGAUGCAGAUGUAUAUCAGCUUGCGGUAAAGGCGGAGGCAUUCCAAGACGCGCAAAGUGUAUCAGAGGAUGGAAAUGCGGUGUCUGUGUCCACAAAUUCCCAGAUUACUAUAGCAGUUUUCGAAAAGGACAAAGGCGAAUUCAGAAUUAGGGUGGUGAAGCAAAUCCUGUGGAUCAAUGGCAUGAGGUAUGAAUUGCAAGAGAUUUAUGGCAUUGGAAAUUCAGUUGAUAAGGACUUUGAUGGAAAUGAUAACGGGAAAGAGUGUGUUGUAUGCCUUUCUGAACCUCGGGACACUACUGUACUUCCAUGUCGACACAUGUGCAUGUGCAGCGGAUGUGCAAAAGUUUUGAGGUUCCAGACAAACCGGUGUCCUAUUUGCCGUCAGCCAGUUGAGCGAUUCUUGGAAAUUAAGGUCAGUGAAGCUGCUGAAGAUUAAGAAAGGGAGAGUCAUGACUAGGAGCGAAGACAGAAUAUUUUUCAAGGGGAGUCAGAAUGUAACCACACGAAGAAUUUAAGGGGAUUUAAAGUGUACAUUGGUAAAUUAUAAAAAAUAAAAAAAAGAAUUACCUAUCUAAACAGUGUAACUUUCCAACGAAGGCGUGUCAAUUAGACAAGGUAGCUCCGCCACUGGUCGCGACAACCACCCUUGGCCUCUGCUUCAUGAAUCAGAAUAACCCGAAAGCAAGCCCCUCAAAACUACCCACUGACUGAAAACGAUGGAGUUUUCAACAAGUCAAGAAAAGCUGGGGAAAGACCAAUCCAUGGAGUUAAAUAUUGUAAUGUGUAUUUGUUGCCAUACUUUUGAGUUUUCAGAAAAUAAAUGAGCAUCACCAGAUUGUUCAUAUGUAAAAACACAAAAUUAGGGUUACCAUAAGGAGGCAGAUGGCAAUUGUUGAUUUUGAACUGUAUGAAAUUAAACAAAACGAUAAA
Lycium barbarum (goji berry) is the source of this 1706-nucleotide RNA transcript. It is a transcript of the gene named probable E3 ubiquitin-protein ligase LOG2, with no coding region annotated. The record is from RefSeq and is a predicted model, not a curated record. The transcript has 4 exons. Lineage: Eukaryota; Viridiplantae; Streptophyta; Magnoliopsida; Solanales; Solanaceae.